Molecule: long non-coding RNA, 96 nt
Organism: Melanotaenia boesemani (Boeseman's rainbowfish)
Lineage: Eukaryota; Metazoa; Chordata; Actinopteri; Atheriniformes; Melanotaeniidae
Exons: 3
Source: RefSeq, a predicted model, not a curated record
CUUACCAGUCUAUGUUCUAUGUUCCAUGUUCCAUGUUGCACCAUUGCGCCAAGAAAUAUUCCUAGUCUGUGAAACCUUCACUGACAAUGGUAAUAA